Molecule: non-coding RNA, 166 nt
Filed under: human oral metagenome
Source: RNAcentral
AUUGGUUUUGGUUCUCGCCGACAGAUUAAAAGGGAAUGCCGUGCGAAUCGGCAACAGACCCGCUGCUGUGAGUUUCGCCAAAGGGCUUUUUACUAUUGUUCCACUGAUUUUUAUAAAAAACGGGAAGGAUAAAAAGCCGAAACAAGUCAGAAGACCUGCCCAAACC